UAAAGGAAGCGAUUCCGGCUACGGAUGGUCAUGCGUCGCAUUAGCUAGUUGGCGGGGUAACGGCCCACCAAGGCGACGAUGCGUAGGGGUUCUGAGAGGAAGGUCCCCCACACUGGUACUGAGACACGGACCAGACUCCUACGGGAGGCAGCAGUGAGGAAUAUUGGUCAAUGGCCGCAGGGCUGAACCAGCCAAGUCGCGUGAGGGAUGACGGUCCUAUGGAUUGUAAACCUCUUUUGUCAGGGAGCAAAGGGCGCCACGUGUGGCGCUUUGCGAGUACCUGAAGAAAAAGCAUCGGCUAACUCCGUGCCAGCAGCCGCGGUAAUACGGAGGAUGCGAGCGUUAUCCGGAUUUAUUGGGUUUAAAGGGUGCGCAGGCGGAAUGUCAAGUCAGCGGUAAAAUUUCGGGGCUCAACCCCGUCGUGCCGUUGAAACUGGCGUUCUUGAGUGAGCGAGAAGUAUGCGGAAUGCGUGGUGUAGCGGCGAAAUGCAUAGAUAUCACGCAGAACUCCGAUUGCGAAGGCAGCAUACCGGCGCUCAACUGACGCUCAUGCACGAAAGCGUGGGUAUCGAACAGGAUUAGAUACCCUGGUAGUCCACGCAGU
Molecule: ribosomal RNA, 604 nt
Filed under: uncultured bacterium
Lineage: Bacteria
Description: bacterial SSU rRNA
Rfam family: Bacterial small subunit ribosomal RNA
Source: RNAcentral